RNAcentral lists this non-coding RNA (26 nucleotides) under Cricetulus griseus (Chinese hamster). Lineage: Eukaryota; Metazoa; Chordata; Mammalia; Rodentia; Cricetidae. The record is from RNAcentral. RNAcentral also lists the same sequence under 1 other name.
GGCCGAGUGGUUAAGGCGUUGGACUC